CACCCCCUGCGCUACAGGUCAGCGGUCAGGUAAUUCUUGAGCCGACAAUCUUUGACCUCGGGAACAGGCUUCAGCGGCCGGUGUGCAUGACCGCCAUGCGCGGUAAGCCUGAAGGACGCUGCGAAGUUCCCAACUUGAACUUACGGUUCAAGGUCAACGGCCGCGACGGUACGGGCGGAGGGUGC
RNAcentral lists this non-coding RNA (185 nucleotides) under Thiohalobacter thiocyanaticus. RNAcentral describes it as "6S RNA". It matches the Rfam family "6S / SsrS RNA". From Rfam's summary of the family: E. coli 6S RNA was the first non coding RNA to be sequenced, but its function was unknown until recently. The record is from RNAcentral. Lineage: Bacteria; Pseudomonadati; Pseudomonadota; Gammaproteobacteria; Thiohalobacterales; Thiohalobacteraceae.